Molecule: transfer RNA, 70 nt
Filed under: Streptomyces anulatus
Lineage: Bacteria; Bacillati; Actinomycetota; Actinomycetes; Kitasatosporales; Streptomycetaceae
Also listed under: 4 other names
Description: tRNA-Arg
Source: RNAcentral
GUCCGUGGAGUGAAACUUCUGGCGCCUUCGUAGCGCUUGGCCGUAGGUUCGAGUCCGGCCGCGGGCGCCA